This 468-nucleotide ribosomal RNA is filed under the name uncultured bacterium. RNAcentral's name for it is "partial 16S ribosomal RNA". It matches the Rfam family "Bacterial small subunit ribosomal RNA", at positions 28 to 507 of the family's 1533-position model. The record is from RNAcentral.
GACGAACGCUGGCGGCGUGCUUAACACAUGCAAGUCGAACGGAAAGGCCCUGCUUUUGUGGGGUGCUCGAGUGGCGAACGGGUGAGUAACACGUGAGUAACCUGCCCUUGACUUUGGGAUAACUUCAGGAAACUGGGGCUAAUACCGGAUAGGAGCUCCUGCUGCAUGGUGGGGGUUGGAAAGUUUCGGCGGUUGGGGAUGGACUCGCGGCUUAUCAGCUUGUUGGUGGGGUAGUGGCUUACCAAGGCUUUGACGGUUAGCCGGCCUGAGAGGGUGACCGGCCACAUUGGGACUGAGAUACGGCCCAGACUCCUACGGGAGGCAGCAGUGGGGAAUAUUGCACGAUGGGCGGAAGCCGGAUGCAGCAACGCCGCGUGCGGGAUGACUGCCUUCGGGUUGUAAACCGCUUUCGCCUGUGACGAAGCGUGAGUGACGGUAAUGGGUAAAGAAGCACCGGCUAACUACGUA